This 744-nucleotide ribosomal RNA is filed under the name uncultured ciliate. RNAcentral describes it as "SSU rRNA". It matches the Rfam family "Eukaryotic small subunit ribosomal RNA", at positions 326 to 1012 of the family's 1831-position model. Lineage: Eukaryota; Ciliophora. The record is from RNAcentral.
UGGUUGUCCAAUACACUACCAUGGCAUUCACGGGCUAUCGGGGGAUUAGGGUUCGAUUCCGGAGAGGGAGCCUGAUAAACGGCUACCACUUCUACGGAAGGCAGCAGGCGCGAAAAUUAUCCAAUCCUGAUUCAGGGAGGUAGUGAAAGAAAUAAUGAACUAGGAUCUAUCCUGGGAUCACAAUGGGCUUGAUUUGCAGACACUUAGCGAGGAACAAUUGGAGGGCAAGUCUGGUGCCAGCAGCCGCGGUAAUUCCAGCUCCAAUAGAGUAUAUAAACGUUCCUGCAGUUAUUCGAUGCUCGUAGUUGGAUUUCUGAGGUUGAGACGGUAGGGUGGCUAUGGCCAUCGCCCGACUCUUUCCUCAUCCACCUGUUUGCGAAGUCCGGGAUUGAUUUCUCGGCUUCGGGCGCAGUAUCUUACCAUUUCAAUAUUCGUAGUCUUCAUCGAUUAUGUUGUUUCUUUGAGCAAAUUAUAGUGUUUCAGGCAGGCGUGCGCCGGAAUACAUUAGCAUGGUAUAAACGAAUUGGACCGUGUGCCCGUAACUGGGCUUCUCCUUAUUGUUGGUUUGAAGGACACGGAGAUGGUUAAUAGGGACAGCGUUUAUUUCACAAGGAGGCAUUAGUAUUUAAUUUCCAGAGGUGAAAUUCUUUGAAAUAUUAAAGACUAACUUAUGCGAAAGCAUCGUUUGCCAAUGAUGUUUUCAUUAAUCAUUGAACGAAAGUUAGGGGAUCAAAGACGAUCAGA